GGAAGAUCUGCCCUGAAGCUGGAUGGGAGGAAGGUCAAAGCCACCUCCAUUGCAAAGCUGCAGCAGUGACCCCACAAUGGGAACAUCAGUCCCAGAUGGCUUCCAGCACUGGGAAUUCUGAAGACCAGACGGAAAAUAUUCCUCAGUGGAGCCCCAGGAUUUGAGUGACACAACAACAAUAUUCCCUCCAAGCGUGUGGGGCAGCCAGGUGAGAGAGGCUUUGCUGGCACCGCCGGGGAUGCGCUGACGCCGGCUCCUGGCCCCGGCCGGAGGCUUCGAAGCACACGAUGCUUUCCAAGUGGGAUUGCACCUGGAGAUUUGCACCUUCUCCAGCCUGGAAGGAGCAGCCAGAAUGGCAGUGCCUUGCUGAGGCUGUGCUACAGCCAGUGCCCAGACCAUUUGGUGUCAGCAGCUUACCAGGUGACACCAGGUGUGUGUCUCUGCUCAGAUGUGUCCCCAGGCCUCUGCCCCUCCAUCUGUCUCCUCUGAUGGACCAAGAAAUAGACACAGCUUUUGUAAGCCCACAGAGUGACUCUCCAAAUUCAUAUUUGCAGAAAGACAUUAAUGUUCACAUGUGGUGUCAGAACAAGAUAAGUGUCUGUGCAAUUAAGAAACAGCUGUUGCUGGCAGCUUGCCCCAGCCAGUCUCAACAAGGAGCAAGACAGGUAGCCUGGUUUUAUCAGACUCUGGGAUUCCUUUCCAACCACUCCUGUGUGUUCCCAGCAAGACAAUAUAUCAGCCUGUAG
RNAcentral lists this long non-coding RNA (746 nucleotides) under Junco hyemalis (dark-eyed junco). RNAcentral describes it as "lncRNA (ENSJHYG00000013845.1)". Lineage: Eukaryota; Metazoa; Chordata; Aves; Passeriformes; Passerellidae. The record is from RNAcentral.